This 407-nucleotide ribosomal RNA is filed under the name uncultured bacterium. RNAcentral describes it as "partial 16S ribosomal RNA". It matches the Rfam family "Bacterial small subunit ribosomal RNA", at positions 30 to 526 of the family's 1533-position model. The record is from RNAcentral.
AUUGAACGCUGGCGGCAGGCCUAACACAUGCAAGUCGAGCGGAGCGGCGGACGGGUGAGUAAUGCCUAGGAAUCUGCCUGGUAGUGGGGGAUAACGUCCGGAAACGGGCGCUAAUACCGCAUACUAUCAGAUGAGCCUAGGUCGGAUUAGCUAGUUGGUGGGGUAAAGGCCUACCAAGGCGACGAUCCGUAACUGGUCUGAGAGGAUGAUCAGUCACCGUGGAACUUGGGCCCGGUCCAGACUCCUACGGGAGGCAGCAAUGGGGAAUUUUGCACAAUUGGCGCAAGCCUGGUGCAGCCAAGCCGCGUGUAUGAAGAAGGCCUUCGGGUUGUAAAGUACUUUCAGCGGGGAGGCGUUACCCGCAGAAGAAGCACCGGCUAACUCCGUGCCAGCCGCCGCGGUAAUUC